GGAUGACGUCAAGUCAUCAUGGCCCUUACGGCCAGGGCUACACACGUGCUACAAUGGUCGGUACAAAGGGUUGCCAAGCCGCGAGGUGGAGCUAAUCCCAUAAAACCGAUCGUAGUCCGGAUCGCAGUCUGCAACUCGACUGCGUGAAGUCGGAAUCGCUAGUAAUCGUGAAUCAGAAUGUCACGGUGAAUACGUUCCCGGGCCUUGUACACACCGCCCGUCACACCAUGGGAGUGGGUUGCUCCAGAAGUAGCUAGUCUAACCGCAAGGGGGACGGUUACCACGGAGUGAUUCAUGACUGGGGUGAAGUCGUAACAAGGUAGCCGU
This 327-nucleotide ribosomal RNA is filed under the name uncultured bacterium. Its description in RNAcentral is "bacterial SSU rRNA". It matches the Rfam family "Bacterial small subunit ribosomal RNA", at positions 1177 to 1503 of the family's 1533-position model. The record is from RNAcentral.